UACGGGGGGGGCAAGCGUUGUUCGGAAUUACUGGGCGUAAGGGGCUCGUAGGUGGCCAACUAAGUCAGACGUGAAAUCCCUCGGCUUAACCGGGGAACUGCGUCUGAUACUGGAUGGCUGGAGUUUGGGAGAGGGAUGCGGAAUUCCAGGUGUAGCGGUGAAAUGCGUAGAUAUCUGGAGGAACACCGGUGGCGAAGGCGGCAUCCUGGACCAACACUGACGCUGAGGAGCGAAAGCCAGGGGAGCAAACGGG
This 253-nucleotide ribosomal RNA is filed under the name uncultured bacterium. RNAcentral's name for it is "partial 16S ribosomal RNA". It matches the Rfam family "Bacterial small subunit ribosomal RNA", at positions 524 to 776 of the family's 1533-position model. The record is from RNAcentral.